UUCACCAACAACCAUGAUAUAUUGUUUAUACUGUUUACCUAACAACAUCCCUUCAACACUAUAUCUUCUCUUCUAGAGGCAAUGGUCUGUAUUUAGCUGUUGAUGAAAAAGGAAAGUCAUGAGGAUAUGCGCCCUUUCCCAUCAUUGAAGGUGAUAGAAUAAGGGAGAGAACGAAAAAUGGCAGAAAAGAUUAGUUGUUGGUAAAGCGGGAAAGGAUAGUGACAUAUUUAAAAUGGUGAAAAUGAUUAUUCAGCAUCAGUAUGAUCCAAUCAUACGUUUCGGCUUCAGCAAAGUGGAAUGCGA
RNAcentral lists this long non-coding RNA (303 nucleotides) under Olea europaea subsp. europaea. The record is from RNAcentral. Lineage: Eukaryota; Viridiplantae; Streptophyta; Magnoliopsida; Lamiales; Oleaceae.